AUAGAAGAUGCGAAGCUUGCAAGGGAUUUUCAAACCACAUUGCAAGAAUUCCAGAAAGUGCAAAAGCUUGCUUCCGAGCGCGAAUCCACUUACUCUCCUUCUCUUCCUGCAUCGUCCUUGACUGCCGCGUCUGGCUCCGGUGAAUAUGUAGCCCCUAGUAUGGAUCAGGAUACCCAACCUUUUCUUAUGGAACAGAAAAGACAAGAGGUAUUGCUUCUGGAUAAUGAAAUUGCUUUCAAUGAGGCCAUAAUUGAUGAAAGGGA
This 263-nucleotide unclassified non-coding RNA is filed under the name Hevea brasiliensis (rubber tree). The record is from RNAcentral. Lineage: Eukaryota; Viridiplantae; Streptophyta; Magnoliopsida; Malpighiales; Euphorbiaceae.